UGGGGAAUAUUGGACAAUGGGCGCAAGCCUGAUCCAGCAAUGCCGCGUGUGUGAAGAAGGCCUUCGGGUUGUAAAGCACUUUUAUCAGGAGCGAAACGCUGUCGGCUAAUACCCGGCGGAACUGACGGUACCUGAGGAAUAAGCACCGGCUAACUUCGUGCCAGCAGCCGCGGUAAUACGAAGGGUGCAAGCGUUAAUCGGAAUUACUGGGCGUAAAGCGUGCGUAGGCGGUUUCUUAAGUCUGCUGUGAAAUCCCCGGGCUCAACCUGGGAAUGGCAGUGGAUACUGGGAGGCUAGAGUGUGUCAGAGGGUGGUGGAAUUCCCGGUGUAGCGGUGAAAUGCGUAGAGAUCGGGGGGAACAUCAGUGGCGAAGGCGGCCACCCGGGACAACACUGACGCUGAGGCACGAAAGCGUGGGGAGCAAACAG
This 428-nucleotide ribosomal RNA is filed under the name uncultured bacterium. RNAcentral's name for it is "bacterial SSU rRNA". It matches the Rfam family "Bacterial small subunit ribosomal RNA", at positions 355 to 775 of the family's 1533-position model. The record is from RNAcentral.